RNAcentral lists this small RNA (74 nucleotides) under Xanthomonas phaseoli pv. phaseoli. RNAcentral's name for it is "Xanthomonas axonopodis pv. phaseoli sX9". RNAcentral also lists the same sequence under 1 other name. Lineage: Bacteria; Pseudomonadati; Pseudomonadota; Gammaproteobacteria; Lysobacterales; Lysobacteraceae. The record is from RNAcentral.
AGGUACCACUCGUACACAGCGGCGAUUGCGCGUCGCCUAUCCACCUGACGACUGCGCGCGACGUUGUGUCACCU